UCUGGAGGCCAUUUGACAACUCAAGUGGUAAUUACACCAUUUGGCACAGGAAUUAGGGCAAGCUGGGCUAGCAACAGAGAAGAUGGGUUUUCCAUUUGGGGACCUUUGGCUAACUAGGUCAAUUUUUGUUCACAUCCCAGCUUCGUAUUUAUUGAGAGACAUGGAGAAGCCACCAGAGAUUCCCAGCCUCUUCAGCCGACUACUGAGGAGGGUGACCUCUGCUGCCUCCUCUCUGACGUCACUGCCUGAAAACAGCCAUGGUGGACUCAGAGGCCAGGAGGGUCACAGAAUGAUCUCCAUGGCCGCCUAAUGUCGCAGGACAGCCCUGGCUUUGACUCAGGAGCUCCAGGCCUUGGUCCAGUGGAAUUUCUGACUCCCUUGGCCAGGGCUGGCUUCCUCAUCCAGAACAAACCAGAGCCAGAGAACUUGGAUGCCACAGCCCUGCCUUUCGCUCCACUCAAUCGUCAAUCAUCAAUCAUCAAUCUCAGUGAUUAGGAGCCGGGUCUGUCCCGGCCGAUGAAGGCUCCCAAGCAUGUUUAUCAUAUCUGUAGGGGUCUAGGCUGUCUCUGGACCUUACCAAGCUUGAUUUUUACCUGAUUCUCAAAAUUGGACCUAGUGAGGCACUCCAUAUGGGAACACUAAGAAACUUAGAGCCCUGGAGAUGAGUGAUAGUUUACGAUUUUAAAAAUAGGGAACCCCUCAAAGCAAAACAAAACCACCCCAAAACAAAACCCACAAACCCAUCAGAAGCAAACCCUGGCUGUGCUGAGCACAGUGCCUCUGACACCGUGGCAUUGAGAUGCGGGGCCAGGAAUGCACCCUCUAAGCGUCAGAACUCUGUCUGGUACUCAGCACCUCGGUGACAAGCCCCGAGCUCUUUUGAGAGACACAUGUGCCCUGGUUGCCCUCUGACAUUAACUGAAGUUUAAAUCCAAACACUACCAGAGCUGGUGGCUGAAGGAAGGCUGAGUCACAGGUGUUUGGCACUCCUGGGGAGCUGCUCUGGUCUCCUCAAGCUUGGGGAUUGUUUUGUAAUUCAUCCUCCCUCAGCUCUUCAUGGUGUCUGGGAUUUGACUCAGAGGUAAGACCCCUGCCACAGUCAAUUUCUAAAUCACCUUAGAUAAGUCCUUUCCCUUCUUUCGGCUCAGUUUUCCCAUCAACAAAAUGGUAUGACAAGAGUCUAUUCUACCAAGUUAGAGCUAUUUCGAGUUGGGAGCAUCACUUGGCCCAUGGCCCUUACUACCUCUCCUGGACUCCUUCUAGUCCUUUAAAUAUCUGCACAGUAUGUGCUGUCUCUGGAACAAGCUGCAUCCUGCAGCCAUUUAGAACAAUUCCUGUUUCCAGUACGGAGUCCAAUCUUGCUGAUAUGGAGGGAAAAUUUCAAGCCCUCUGCUGUAUAAAUUCAGUCAAUGUUUUAUUGCUCCGGACUCUUUUAACACACAACUUUUGUUUCUCAUUAA
Long non-coding RNA from Mesocricetus auratus (golden hamster), 1460 nucleotides. RefSeq lists it as uncharacterized. Lineage: Eukaryota; Metazoa; Chordata; Mammalia; Rodentia; Cricetidae. The transcript has 3 exons. The record is from RefSeq and is a predicted model, not a curated record.